GGGCGCGUAGCUCAGUUGGUUAGAGCGUCACGUUUACACCGUGGAUGUCCGGGGUCCGAAUCCCUGCGCGCCCA
Molecule: transfer RNA, 74 nt
Filed under: Treponema sp.
Lineage: Bacteria; Pseudomonadati; Spirochaetota; Spirochaetia; Treponematales; Treponemataceae
Description: tRNA-Val
Rfam family: tRNA
About the family: Transfer RNA (tRNA) molecules are approximately 80 nucleotides in length.
Source: RNAcentral